UGCAGUCGAACGGUAGCAGGAAGUGCUUGCACUUUGCUGACGAGUGGCGGACGGGUGAGUAAUGCUUGGGAACUUGCCUUUGCGAGGGGGAUAACAGUUGGAAACGACUGCUAAUACCGCAUAAUGUCUACGGACCAAACGGGGCUUAGGCUUCGGCGCAGAGAGAGGCCCAAGUGAGAUUAGCUAGUUGGUGGGGUAAAGGCUCACCAAGGCGACGAUCUCUAGCUGUUCUGAGAGGAAGAUCAGCCACACUGGGACUGAGACACGGCCCAGACUCCUACGGGAGGCAGCAGUGGGGAAUAUUGCACAAUGGGGGGAACCCUGAUGCAGCCAUGCCGCGUGUGUGAAGAAGGCCUUCGGGUUGUAAAGCACUUUCAGUUGUGAGGAAAAGUGAGUAGUUAAUACCUGCUCACCGUGACGUUAACAACAGAAGAAGCACCGGCUAACUCCGUGCCAGCAGCCGCGGUAAUACGGAGGGUGCGAGCGUUAAUCGGAAUUACUGGGCGUAAAGCGCACGCAGGCGGUUUGUUAAGCUAGAUGUGAAAGCCCCGAGCUCAACUUGGGAUGGUCAUUUAGAACUGGCAGACUAGAGUCUUGGAGAGGGGAGUGGAAUUCCAGGUGUAGCGGUGAAAUGCGUAGAUAUCUGGAGGAACAUCAGUGGCGAAGGCGACUCCCUGGCCAAAGACUGACGCUCAUGUGCGAAAGUGUGGGUAGCGAACAGGAUUAGAUACCCUGGUAGUCCACACCGUAAACGCUGUCUACUAGCUGUUUGUGGCUUUAAGCCGUGAGUAGCGAAGCUAACGCGAUAAGUAGACCGCCUGGGGAGUACGGCCGCAAGGUUAAAACUCAAAUGAAUUGACGGGGGCCCGCACAAGCGGUGGAGCAUGUGGUUUAAUUCGAUGCAACGCGAAGAACCUUACCUACACUUGACAUGCAGAGAACUUUCCAGAGAUGGAUUGGUGCCUUCGG
This 969-nucleotide ribosomal RNA is filed under the name Alteromonas sp. RNAcentral's name for it is "bacterial SSU rRNA". It matches the Rfam family "Bacterial small subunit ribosomal RNA", at positions 56 to 1023 of the family's 1533-position model. Lineage: Bacteria; Pseudomonadati; Pseudomonadota; Gammaproteobacteria; Alteromonadales; Alteromonadaceae. The record is from RNAcentral.